UUGCUUUGGCAGCACACACGCUGAAAAUUGGAAUGAUACAGAGAAGGCAUGGCCCCCGUUUAAGGAUGACAAUUUCUGAAGCAUUCCAUCAUUUU
This is a small nuclear RNA of Capra hircus (goat), 95 nucleotides long. Lineage: Eukaryota; Metazoa; Chordata; Mammalia; Artiodactyla; Bovidae. The record is from Ensembl.